RNAcentral lists this ribosomal RNA (1151 nucleotides) under Escherichia coli. RNAcentral describes it as "partial 23S ribosomal RNA". It matches the Rfam family "Bacterial large subunit ribosomal RNA", at positions 1 to 1191 of the family's 2925-position model. The record is from RNAcentral. Lineage: Bacteria; Pseudomonadati; Pseudomonadota; Gammaproteobacteria; Enterobacterales; Enterobacteriaceae.
GGUUAAGCGACUAAGCGUACACGGUGGAUGCCCUGGCAGUCAGAGGCGAUGAAGGACGUGCUAAUCUGCGAUAAGCGUCGGUGAGGUGAUAUGAACCGUUAUAACCGGCGAUUUCCGAAUGGGGAAACCCAGUGUGAUUCGUCACACUAUCAUUAACUGAAUCCAUAGGUUAAUGAGGCGAACCGGGGGAACUGAAACAUCUAAGUACCCCGAGGAAAAGAAAUCAACCGAGAUUCCCCCAGUAGCGGCGAGCGAACGGGGAGCAGCCCAGAGCCUGAAUCAGUGUGUGUGUUAGUGGAAGCGUCUGGAAAGGCGCGCGAUACAGGGUGACAGCCCCGUACACAAAAAUGCACAUACUGUGAGCUCGAUGAGUAGGGCGGGACACGUGGUAUCCUGUCUGAAUAUGGGGGGACCAUCCUCCAAGGCUAAAUACUCCUGACUGACCGAUAGUGAACCAGUACCGUGAGGGAAAGGCGAAAAGAACCCCGGCGAGGGGAGUGAAAAAGAACCUGAAACCGUGUACGUACAAGCAGUGGGAGCACAGAGCAAUCUGUGUGACUGCGUACCUUUUGUAUAAUGGGUCAGCGACUUAUAUUCUGUAGCAAGGUUAACCGAAUAGGGGAGCCGAAGGGAAACCGAGUCUUAACUGGGCGUUAAGUUGCAGGGUAUAGACCCGAAACCCGGUGAUCUAGCCAUGGGCAGGUUGAAGGUUGGGUAACACUAACUGGAGGACCGAACCGACUAAUGUUGAAAAAUUAGCGGAUGACUUGUGGCUGGGGGUGAAAGGCCAAUCAAACCGGGAGAUAGCUGGUUCUCCCCGAAAGCUAUUUAGGUAGCGCCUCGUGAAUUCAUCUCCGGGGGUAGAGCACUGUUUCGGCAAGGGGGUCAUCCCGACUUACCAACCCGAUGCAAACUGCGAAUACCGGAGAAUGUUAUCACGGGAGACACACGGCGGGUGCUAACGUCCGUCGUGAAGAGGGAAACAACCCAGACCGCCAGCUAAGGUCCCAAAGUCAUGGUUAAGUGGGAAACGAUGUGGGAAGGCCCAGACAGCCAGGAUGUUGGCUUAGAAGCAGCCAUCAUUUAAAGAAAGCGUAAUAGCUCACUGGUCGAGUCGGCCUGCGCGGAAGAUGUAACGGGGCUAAACCAUG